AACCUAGCACACCUGCGGUGUGUACCUGCGGAGGGAUCAUUAUAGAGUUUUCUAAACUCCCAACCCAUGUGAACUUACCUUUUGUUGCCUCGGCAGAAGUUAUAGGUCUUCUUAUAGCUGCUGCCGGUGGACCAUUAAACUCUUGUUAUUUUAUGUAAUCUGAGCGUCUUAUUUUAAUAAGUCAAAACUUUCAACAAUGGAUCU
RNAcentral lists this unclassified non-coding RNA (204 nucleotides) under soil metagenome. RNAcentral describes it as "partial contains 5.8S ribosomal RNA, internal transcribed spacer 2, and large subunit ribosomal RNA". The record is from RNAcentral.